AUCCUUCCGGAUAAUCAGAAUGGAAGUAGAGUAUUAAUAAAACUCACUCAAAUUAAGAUGGUCACCUCAUUUCAGCUCAAAGACGGAGAGAACAUUCGGCUUGAUUUAGUGCCCACUGGAGGACCAUUGAGAGCUACAUACCAAGGAUGGCCUUUCCUCAUCUUAUAUCAUGGAAGCAUCUCAUUCGAAGAAAAUAUAGUGGAAGCAAUCGAGACACCCUUAGGGCUUCUAACUGUAAUAUGUUGCAAGCUACCUUUUCACUUGAAACUUUGUUUUCUCUACUUAUCUGUGUUUCCCGCACACCUAGAGAUAUCCACCAGGCAGUUAUAUCAGUUGUGGAUAGCUGAAGGUUUCAUUCCAGACAACAGUGUGGCAAUUGCUGGGAAGUACUUAGAGCAACUAAUCAAUAGAGGCUUUGUUGAUACAAGGAAGAGAAGAGCUGGAGGCACUAUCAACACAUGCUCUGUUCGUGGUCGUUGCCGUCCUGUGUUGUUAACAGUGGCUUUCAAGGCAGAAUUUAUCUUUCUCUUGUUCAUGGAUUCAAAAGGUAAAUCACAAAAAAAUGUUAAAUGGGUCAGCGUUUUUGAAAAACAUAGUGAUUUUGUUCACUUAGAUGAUUAUGACUCGCACAUGCAUUCUUUGUUGUACUUCACUUCAAAAAGCGACCACCUUGACCCAAUAGAUUGGGAGAAAAUUUGCAGAAUGUUCAAAUUUCUCAGAGUAUUGGACUUGGGAUCUCUUGUUCUCAUCCAAUAUCCAUCCGGAAUUGAAAAUUUAUUUCUUUUGAGAUAUUUAAAGUUGAAUAUCCCUUCCCUCAAAAUCCUGCCUUCAUCAUUAUUAAGCAAUCUUCUGAACCUUUACACCUUAGACAUGCCCUUUAGCUAUAUAGAUCAUACAGCAGAUGAAUUUUGGAAGAUGAAAAAACUCAGGCAUCUAAAUUUGGGGUCAAUCACACUUCCUGCGCAUCCAGGAAAAUAUUGUGGCUCUCUUGAAAAUCUCAAUUUCAUUUCAGCCUUGCAUCCUUGCUGCUGUACUGAAGAUAUAUUGGGCAGACUACCUAAUCUUCAAAAUCUCUAGAUACAGGGAGAUUUAAGUUAUUAUCAAUCCUUGUUGUCCAAAAGCCUCUGCAGAUUGAGCUCUCUUGAGUCAUUGAAGCUGGCGAAUGAAAGCAAGAUGCCACGGUUCUCCAAAAUAGUCCUUGCUGAAUACUUAUUUCCUCAUAGUCUAACCCACCUGAGUUUUUCUAAUACUGACCUAAUGGACGAUCCCAUGCCGGCACUAGAAAAGCUGCCGCUUCUUCAAGUGCUCAAACUGAAGCAAAACUCGUAUUCAGGUAGAAAGCUGACUUGUGGUUCUGAUGGUUUUCCAAGGCUUAAGGUAUUGCACAUGAAAUCAAUGCUAUGGCUAGAGGAGUGGACUAUGGGGACUGGGGCAAUGCCAAAACUAGAAUGCUUGCUUAUCAACCCUUGUGCUUACUUGAAAAGGGUUCCUGAACAGCUCUGGUGCAUAAAGAGCUUAAACAAAUUCGAUUGCUGGUGGCCUCAGCCAGAGCUGAGACAAAAGCUACGGGAAUUCAAGGAUAAGGAGCAGUAUGGCGUUCAGCUUUAUCCUUACGGAAUUUGAUUAGCCCUGAUUGAGUUUGAUGUAAGUUUUUUCUUCUUCCCCAAUAACUUCAACCUUUAAUUAUUGAUCUAAUUUCAUAUAAAAGUUUUUUUUCUCCACAAUAGAUUUGAUAGUAUGCAGCUGCCUGAACUAUAAUCAUAAUAUAAAGUGUUUUCUACAUUCUAAUUGUGGUUGCUUCUAAUUUUUGUCUCAAGCCAAAGUUUCAAUUUCAACCAGAAUCCAGCCUUCAUCCUUUCAGUGUUCACUUCUGCUAAGUUGUCUACACGUUGUUUGGUUUCUUUGUUUUCAAGGAUUUGCAUGCUAAAAGUAAUAAUGUCAUGUUCGGAUUAAUAUAUUGUACAAAAGUUUGAUUAAUUGUUUUACUUUCUAUUUUCAGUUUCAUUGGUGUGUAUUCAAUUUGUCAACAUUCAAAUUGAUAUAUGUUAUGUUUUUAUUUUUAUUUUAUUUCUUUCUCUAGUUUUUAAGUAGUGGUACAGUUCUGUCAAGGAAGCUCAUAAUGCAUGGAAGGAAGCAGCACACGUGUGAGAUGAAUACAGUCAGCUGAAUCAAUUGAAGAGUGAAGUGCCAGCUCAGCUGAAGUUAGUUAGACACAUUAAGAUCAUAUUCAGUUAGCUUCUUUAUUUUCUGUUAAGCUGUAAACAGCUGAGUAUAAAUACAAGCAUCUUGUAAUCAUUUUGUUAUCAUGUAAAAAUGAAAUAAAGCAUUUGAUUCAGAAGUCUUUUACAAAUGUUCUUAGCACUUUAAAUACAUUUUCUCAGUAACCAAACAGUCUGUUCAUUCAAGCUUUUAAGCUUUCAAACAUGGUAUCAGAGCUAUACAGAGCUAGUUCCAAUAAUCAACAGUCAAGCUUUCGUAAUCAAACAACAAACAACACAAAUCAAUCUACUCAAAUCAACUUCUCCUUUACUAAACCUAUCAAGCUAGAUCGAUCAAAUUACUUACUCUGGCGCUCUCAAGUUUUAGCUUCAAUAAGAGGCAAUCGUUUGGAAGAUUUCGUCACAGGAGCCAAAUCAGUACCUGAUAAGUGUCUUCUGUUAACUGAAGCAGAUGGAUCUACACAACAAAUUGAAAAUCCAGAAUAUCAGAUCUGGAGAUCACAGGAUCAGACACUUCUUGGCUGGCUACUGUCGUCAUUAAGUGAAGGUAUCUUGAGUCUUGUUAUCAAUUGUGAGAGUUCAUUUGAUAUAUGGAAAACUUUGGAAAAGAAAUUUGGAGUUCAAUCUGAAGCUCGAGUUCUUCAACUCAGAUAUGAACUAAACACUCAUAAAAAGGAAGCUCUUAGUGUUGAAGAUUAUUGUAUUAAAAUGAAAGCAAUAGCUGAUAAGCUAGCCAGUGCUGGUAGUUCAAUUACAGAGAAGGAUUUUAUGUUAACUAUUCUUAAUGGAUUAGGACCAGGAUUUCGUGAUAUUGCUACACUUAUAACUGGUUCACGAAUGGAAUUUGAUGAUGCUUAUGCACUGUUACUCACUCAUGAGACUAGAUUAGAGCAGCAGCAAGGUGGCAGAAGUAUGUUUAAUGCAAACUAUGCAUAUACGAAUGCAUAUUAUCCUAGAGCUUAUUUUGCACAGCCUAGAGGAAAUUUUAAACGAGGAGGUUAUUCUGGUGGUAGAACUCCUUUCUUUGGCAGAGGAAAUAUGAAUUACUCUCCAAGAAUGUUUAAUGGAGGUGUUAGAAAUGGAUAUGGCAGAGGAUUUUUUCCUGGAAAUAACUCCACUGAUUUCAAUCAUUUUUCAGCUCCGAGGAAUCCAGUACCUAGGAACUCAUCCUUUCUAGCUAGAAAUGGUGCUAAUAUGAGUGGAUCACAAGGAAGCUUUAAUAAUGCUGGGGAGCUGGUAUGUCAGAUUUGCUUUAAGAAUGGUCAUACUGCUGAUGUUUGUUGGCACAUAUUUAUUGAAGACUUUGUACCUGUUCCAAGAGGUUUUGGCAGGGGAAAAACACCAAGAGCAGCAUAUUUCUCAAACUUUGAUGGCUCUACUUCUAAUCCAGAUUUUGGCUAUGAAAACAAUAAUAUGUUUCCAGGUUAUGAUUCUAUAUCUGGCAAUAGUUACUAUUCUGGAAUGGAUGGAUACACUUCUGGAGCAGCUGGAACAGCUUUCAUGGCUAAUUUUGAAGGGACUGCUGAUGAUGGAUGGUAUCUGGAUAGUGGGGCAACUCACCAUUUAACCAACAAUAUGGAGAAUUUGCAGAUCAAUGAAGAGUUUAAAGGUACUGAUCAGCUUAUCAUUGGAAAUGGUCAAGGUUUGUCUAUUACUCAUGUUGGACAUGCAUUUCUGGUAUUAAGAGCUUCUAAAUCUUUAUCUACACGUGCUAGAAUAACACUUAAAGAUGUGUUACUUGUUCCUUCAAUUACCAAAAAUCUAUUAAGUAUUUCCAAACUCACAUCUGAUAAUCCUGUAUCUGUUGAAUUCUGUGGAAAUGUUUGUUUUGUGAAGGACAUGAAGGGUCAAGUUCUUCUGCAGGGUAUUGCUGAAAAAGGCCUUUAUAAGCUGCUGCUGAAAUCUAAUUCUCUUUCUUCAUCACCUACAUCUUAUCCUUGUAAAUCCCAGCCAAAUAAACUAGUUUCUAUGUUAUCUGCUUUCAAACACUGUGAUAAUGGUACUCGAGCUUGCUAUCAGUCUGUUUUAAAUAAGUGUAAUGUCAAACCUGAUAUGAUAACUUUGUUACAUAGAAAGUUUGGUCAUCCAAGCUCAAUGACAUUGGUGCAUUUGCUCAAAUCAUGUAAACAGUUUAAAAUCUCUCCAAAAGAUAUGUUAUCUUCUGCAAACACUUUAUGUGAAGCAUGUCAGCUAGGCAAAGUCCAUAAGCAACAUUUCUUAAUAACUGAAACAAAAACAAAAGGGGUAUUAGAAUUGAUUCAUACUGAUCUUUGGGGGCCUUCACCUACUGUGUCUAGAGAUGGAUACAAAUACUACAUUAGUUUUGUGGAUGAUUAUACUAGGUAUUCUUGGAUCUAUCCUCUUAAGCUCAAAUCACAAGCAUUUGAAGUUUUUAAAUUGUUCAAAACUCAAGUUGAGAAUCAGUUUGAUACCAAAAUUAAGAAGCUACAAUCUGACCUUGGGGGAGAGUUUAGAGCAUUUAUUGAUUUUCUGAAUCAAAAUGGAAUAAUGUUUAGACACUCAUGUUCUUACACUCAUCACCAGAAUGGUAUUAUUGAAAGGAAACACAGGCAUAUAGUUACACCAGAAUGGUAUUGUUGAGAGGAAACACAUGCAUAUAGUUGAGCUAGGCUUAACCCUCAUGGCUCAAGCAAACAUUUUUCUUCAAUUCUGGUGGGAAGCUGUUCAUACAGCAGUGUAUCAUAUUAAUAGAUUGCCUACCCUUGUUCUGAAAUUCUUAUCUCCUUAUGAGAAACUUUUCAAACACAAACCAGAUUACACAUUCCUGAAGUGUUUUGGUUGUCUUUACUACCCAUACUUGAGGGAUUUUAACAAACAUAAGUUUGAUUUUCACACCUCUAAAUGAAUUUUUAUUGGAUACAAUCCCUCUUAUAAAGGAUACAAGUGCUUAGCAAGUUCUGGCAAAGUCUAUGUUCUUAGACAUGUCAUUUUUUAUGAAAACACAUUCCCUUAUCCAAUAAACACUACAUCUCACUCAUCAGAAAACCCCAUAUCUUCUGAAACCUCAGUGUCUAAUUUCUCUCAACAACAUAUCUAUCAUCUUUCUACAAUGGCCUUACCCAACAGCAGCUUUGAAGGUCUUCAAUCAGCAGGCUCAGCAAGAAGUGAACAAAUGCCCUCUGUUCCCACACAUACAGAUAUUCUGAAUCAACAAGAACAUCCAUCACACACAUCUUUAGAGUUAUCAUCCUCAACCUCACCAUCACCAAACACAUUGCCAGUACAAUCAUCCAUUCUACAAUCAGAGGAAACUUCUAUUCCACAGAACAUAGACCAAAUUCAAACCAGAAAUUAUUCCCAACCAUCUUCUCAUCCAAUGAUUACCAGAUCAAAAUCUGGAAUCUUCAAACCAAAGGUCUAUACAGUCACCUUAGCCAACAAAGAACCUAGUACAGUUCAAGAAGCUCUUAGUAGUCAGAAUUGGCAUCAAGCCAUGGUAGAUGAGUAUGAAGCUUUGAUAAAGAAUGAGACUUGGUCACUGGUACCAUUUUCAAAUGCAUACAAAGUAGUUGCGAACAAAUGGGUGUUUAGAUUUAAGCAAAAUACUGAUGGAAGCAUAGCCAAACACAAGGCCAGGUUGGUUGCCAAAGGUUUUCAGCAAACUGAAGGUGUGGAUUACUUUGAGACCUUUAGCCCAGUUGUAAAAGCUUCAACAGUAAGGAUUAUUCUGAGUUUAGCUGUGAUGCAUAAAUGGAAAAUAAGGCAAGUGGAUGUGAAUAACGCAUUUUUGAAUGGAGACUUGACAGAGGAUGUCUAUAUGUAUCAGCCUGAAGGUUUUAUUGAUCAACAAAAACCCAAUCAUAUAUGUAAGCUGAAGAAGGCCUUGUAUGGCUUGAAGCAAGCUCCUAGAGCUUGGUAUGACAAGCUUAAGAAUUGUCUUAUUGCUAAUUGGAAAUUUCAGAAUUCAAAGGAUGAUACCUCUCUCUUCUUCAAAGAAGUGCAGGGUUCAAUGAUACUUAUCUUAAUCUAUGUUGAUGACAUUCUAAUAACAGGACCUGAUAAUGGUGAGUUGGAAAAAUUCAUCUCAGAAUUUAGUAAGACUUUUGCCUUAAAAGACUUGGGAAUUCUGUCAUAUUUUCUGGGGAUAGAAGUUUCCUAUGCUGAAGACUGCAUCCAUCUAUCUCAGAAGAAAUAUAUCUUGGAUUUGUUAUCCAAAGCUGAUAUGCAAAAUUGUAAAGGCUGUGACACUCCCAUAGUUACUGGAACAAAGCUUCAGAAAGAAGUCAAAGGCUGUUUGGGUCAAUAUAUUGAGGAUGCAACAAGCUAUAGAAGCUUAGUUGGAGGUUUACAAUAUCUGGUAUUAACCAGACCAGAGAUAGCAUUUGUUGUGCAUAAGUUAAGCCAGUAUGUGACAGCUCCAACACUCCAGCAUGUUAUGGCUUGUAAAAGAGUUCUUAGAUACCUUAAGAAAACUGCAGAUCAUGGUAUGAAGUUUUCAGCAGAUGGGGAAAUGAAGAUCACAGGAUUUACAAAUGCAGAUUGGGCAUGUGAUGUUGAUGACAGAAAAUCAAUAGGAGCAUAUUGCAUUUAUUUUGGAAACAAUCUAAUUUCAUGGUCAUCCAAGAAGCAGGCUGUGGUUACACGAUCCAGUGCAGAGAGUGAAUAUCGUGCUCUGGCUUCUGCAAGUGCAGAGAUAACAUGGAUCCAGUCAUUAUUCAGUGAACUCAACAUUAAGUGUACUUCAUUACCAACUAUCUGGUGUGACAAUAUAAGUGCAACAGAGUUGGCCAAUAAUCCAGUUUAUCAUUCAAGGACUAAACAUAUUGAACUAGAUAUGCACUUUAUUAGAGACAAAGUUUUGGCAAAGGAGUUGGAGAUUAACUAUAUUCCCAGCGAGGAGCAAAUUGCUGAUGCUUUGACAAAGCCUCUGACAUUCAUUCAUUUCAAUUAUUUCAGAGACAAACUCAAUGUGCAACCAUGCCCCUUGAGUUUGAGGGGGGCUGUCAAGGAAGCUCAUUAUGCAUGGAAGGAUGCAGCACACGUGUGAGAUGAAUACAGUCAGCUGAAUCAAUUGAAGAGUGAAGUGCCAGCUCAGCUGAAGUUAGUUAGACACGUUAAGAUCAUAUUCAGUUAGCUUCUUUAUUUUCUGUUAAGCUGUAAACAGCUGAGUAUAAAUACAAGCAUCUUGUAAUCAUUUUGUUAUCAAGUAAAAAUGAAAUAAAGCAUUUGAUUCAGAAGUCUUUUACAAAUUUUCUUAGCACUUUAAAUACAUUUUCUCAGUAACCAAACAGUCUGUUCAUUCAAUCUUUUAAGCUUUCAAACGUUCAACUUCAAGCUUAGUACUUCAGUUAGAAGAAAAGUAUUUGCGCUUUGAUCUCAUCUCAUCAUGUCAACACUGGCAGAACGACAUUGUUGUUCGGUUUUUUGGAAUUUCACCGACGUGUCGGUCAUCAUAAGGGCGAAAGUGCUGGUCAAAAGUGAGUUGGGGUUAGUUAAAAAAUACAGGAAAAUUCUAGGUUGUUAGAGAUAGCCUUUAUCGUAGUUUAUAAGGCUGGUUGAUGGGCCAUCUUCUCAGAUCUCAUCAAAGCAAUGGAGAGAGAGAGAGAGUUGAAAUAGAAAGUUGUAUAUUCUUGUUCUCUGUAACAAGCUCCACAUCCUGGUAACAUUGAUUUGUGAAAUAGUGAAAGCUUGACAACUUAUAUCCUUGUUCUUCACUGGAUGUAGGCACUUUGAUUCAAUUUUUAGUUCGGAUUUCUGAGAAUGAGUCUUCAUACAUCACAUCAAAGAUGGUCUAAGGUGUUUGAUCUUGGUACUGUCAGAGGAUUAAACACAACAAAAAGAAACUGGGGCAUAUUGCCUAAUCUUCAUAAUCUUCAGAUAAAUGGAGAUUAAGCCCUUGUCAAUUUGGGUUGUCCAACAACCCUUGUAAAAUCGAAAACCAGCACUAAUCCUUGGUGAUUUGGAGCAGAAGAUUUAACGAGUAAAGUUCUGAAAGUGGAAUCAUACCAAAGCCCUCUUUUGCAGCAGAGAAAUCCCUGUUUGCAUUAAAAAUGAUCCUUAUAGCCAUUGAGAUUAAUUGAUUAAAUGGAGUUGACAAAUGAAACAAAAACGGAAAAAAAAAAACUUCAAUUCUACCAAAAUCAUUCAACCGUUAUUACCCACUUUGAAUAAAAUUCAACAUCCUUUUUUCUAUUCCUUUCAGGUAAUAAGUUGCUUGUGUUGUUUUUAAUCUCAAUAAGAUAUAUAUCAUCGGCAUAUUGAAGUUUGUGAUUAUUCUAAGAAAAAAUAGGUGCUUUAUUAUUUGAAUUAUCGACAAAAUAAUUUCAUUUCAUUAUUUUGUUAGAUCCACUAUAUGUACAUGUUUGAAUCUUAUUCACAAGGUUUGAUUUCACUCUCACGUUUCAUAUGAUGACAAAUUAGAUAAAAAAAAAUGAAAGCUAGCGUUUCAGUAGCAAUUACAUUAGUAUUUAGCACAUGUUAUUUUGAGUACAAGCACAAUUUGGGUCAUUUUCCAGGACCAACUAUCUUCCAUUUAGAAAUGCAUUGACAAACAGGUUAAUUCGUAAAAUGAUGGUUUCUAGAUAGAAUCUUUCCAAGUUGCACUAACCUCCUUUCCUAAAAGAAUAACGAUCCAGAGGAAAAUGUGAGCUAUAUAGAGAGAGAUUGCUGAUAGAAUAGCUGUAUUUCUUGUUUUUUGCUUUGUACUCUGUAAAAACUCUGUGAUACAUCUUGAAGAAUCAAUAAACGCUAAUCAGAAAUUCCCUCCCAUUGAUGCAAGCUAAUGUAAAUUAGCUGAACCACGUUAAAUCGAUUUGUCCUCUGUUCUUUUAAUUCUUUGAUUCAAUUUGAUCUUAAUUGUUUUUUGUUCUUUCAUCAUCAUCUUGUUUCGAUUCCAUUUUCAAUUGAGCUUCAAAUCAGUUCAUUCUUGGUAGCAUCUUGAUUGAUUGGAUUGUGAUCUUGGACAGCAACUGAGGUAUCUCUGGUGUUAAGCACUCCAGUUGCUACACUGAUGCACUCAAUCAAUAUGCUUUGUUUAUUUACCGAAGAGAUUUGAUUACUGAUAAACUUCAUACUUGCCUGACUCUGAUCCCGUAUAGUGGGUUGAGAGGAUUACAUGGAGAUGCUGUUUAAGCUAAGGCAUAAGGCAGAGAAGCAAGCUAUGGAAGCCAAUUAGGUUGAAGACUGUCAAUAAACAAACAUAAUUCGAUUAGCAGUAGGUCGUUAAUACUUAAUAUUUAACGUGAGGAACAAGUUUUUCAGCCUCGCCUCAGAGUGAUAACUACUUCGACUUUGUCUGUUACUUGGAAACUUUGGUGCCUUCCAUGACAAUCAUUUUGUGGCAGCACAGUGAACGAUUCUGUUGCUUUUGCUUUCAAUGAACAGGGCUACCUUACCAGAUAGGGUUAGCAUUUUAUUAAUUGCAAGUGGUAGCUUAUUUAUUCAUUACUUUUGUCUUCUGUGAAUAUAAAACACUGACUAUGUAAUCAUAAUACUUUUUUAAUAAUGAUUUUGUAAUUAUUUAUUACGCUCCAAGUCAAUAUAUAUCACAUCAACCCCCAAUAUUUUCUCUGCAACUACUUUCUUAUUGUACCCAUUAUCAAAAUUCUAUAAUAAACAUCAUUUAUGUGUAGGAGAAACUAUUGACUAAACUGACAUGCUUGCACUACUGGAGUACUAAGAGAAAGAGUUGUGUAGGUCAACCUAAGAUCAAUUUCAUUCAGCAACAAUAAAUGUUUCAGUGGAUACGUGAUUUUACAUGCCAGUAAGUGGUAGACGUGAUUUUGCAUUUUUCCACAGCUUAAAUUAUUGACGAUCUUGCUCUGUUCUUUUCUUUUCAAAUAGACUUUAUGGUCCCGGUGGAAUUGCUUUGACCUUUUCUUUCUUGAAAGUGGAUGUAUAAUACAUAUUGGUCUUGAUUGAUCCUUGAUCAAGACCUAUUUAUUCUCUUCUGCUUUAUUCUUUUUACAACAUAUGGAGAACAGUGUAUUGUAAGAUUCAUGUACAGCACUGCUCUACCUCGAUCUGUUCUGAUUUGAGAGUCAACAAUCUCAAUUCAAUUUCUUGAAUGGAGUACUAGCUAAGAGAACGAGGUAGGGGAGCUUUAAAGCAUAGUUUCUUUUCAACUCUCUAUUUUUAACUAUUUCUUUGCAUGCUACAGGACUGAUUACAGGGUGGUACUGAGAGAGGAGAAGAUAUGGACAUCAACUUCAGAUUAUUUUCAGAGAGGCUGAGAAGGGUGUUCGCUGAUGAAGAAGUCAUGUUGCCUGAUGCUGCAAAACUACCUAAAAGUAGGGACAUGGUGGGUCUAGAUGAUAGAAUGGAGGAGUUGUUAGAUCUAUUGAUCGAGGGACCACCUUAGCUUUCAGUUGUGGCCAUACAUGAUAGCAUUGGGUUGGACAAGACGGCUUUCGCCGGAGAGGCUUACAACAGCAGUUAUGUGAAGCAUUAUUUUGAUUGUCACACUUAGAUUCGGGAGCCUUAUCCGUAUGAAGCUGACCAAAUAUUAGAUAUCAUUAUUAAGUUUCUGAUGCCUUCAUCUAGGUUGAGCGAAAUCAGUUAAAAGGUUUUCAAAAAGUUGUUCUGCUGUACGGCCAAGGCGGAUGUACGGUACAGCAGAAGCGGUAUUUGAUUGUGAUUGAUGAUGUGUGGAACAUUGAAGUAUGGGAUAUUAUUUGAGAAAUAAUCCCGGAUAAUCAGAAUAGAAGUAGAGUAUUAAUAACACUCACUCAAAUUAAGAUGGUCACCUCAUUUCAACUCGAAGACGGAGAGAACAUUCGGCUUGAUUUAGUGCCCACUGGAGGACCAUUGAGAGCUACAUAUAAAGGAUGGCCUUUCCUCAUCUUAUAUCAUGGAAGCAUCUCAUUUGAAGAAAAUAUAGGGGAAGCAGUGGAG
This 11072-nucleotide long non-coding RNA is filed under the name Citrus sinensis (sweet orange). RNAcentral's name for it is "long non-coding RNA (CSIN_LNC004969)". The record is from RNAcentral. Lineage: Eukaryota; Viridiplantae; Streptophyta; Magnoliopsida; Sapindales; Rutaceae.